AGGACGAACGCUGGCGGCGUGCUUAACACAUGCAAGUCGAGCGGAAAGGCCCUUCGGGGUACUCGAGCGGCGAACGGGUGAGUAACACGUGAGCAACCUGCCCUUAGCUUCGGGAUAGCUCCGGGAAACCGGAAUUAAUACCGGAUAUGACUAUGGCCGACAUCAGCCAUGGUGGAAAGUUUUUCGGCUAGGGAUGGACUCGCGGCCUAUCAGCUAGUUGGUGAGGUAACGGCUCACCAAGGCGACGACGGGUAGCCGGCCUGAGAGGGCGACCGGCCACACUGGGACUGAGACACGGCCCAGACUCCUACGGGAGGCAGCAGUGGGGAAUAUUGCGCAAUGGGCGAAAGCCUGACGCAGCGACGCCGCGUGGGGAUGAAUGCCUUCGGGUUGUAAACCCCUUUCAGCAGGGACGAAGCGAAAGUGACGGUACCUGCAGAAGAAGCGCCGGCUAACUACGUGCCAGCAGCCGCGA
This 475-nucleotide ribosomal RNA is filed under the name uncultured bacterium. RNAcentral's name for it is "SSU rRNA". It matches the Rfam family "Bacterial small subunit ribosomal RNA", at positions 26 to 520 of the family's 1533-position model. The record is from RNAcentral.